This 21-nucleotide microRNA is filed under the name Mus musculus (house mouse). RNAcentral describes it as "mmu-miR-683". Its record names the gene mmu-miR-683. Lineage: Eukaryota; Metazoa; Chordata; Mammalia; Rodentia; Muridae. The record is from miRBase by way of RNAcentral.
CCUGCUGUAAGCUGUGUCCUC